RNAcentral lists this ribosomal RNA (301 nucleotides) under uncultured bacterium. RNAcentral's name for it is "partial 16S ribosomal RNA". It matches the Rfam family "Bacterial small subunit ribosomal RNA", at positions 509 to 809 of the family's 1533-position model. The record is from RNAcentral.
CAGUAGCCACGGUAAUACGAAGGGGGCUAGCGUUGUUCGGAAUGACUGGGCGUAAAGGGCGCGUAGGUGGUUAUGUAAGUGAGAUGUGAAAUCCCCGGGCUCAACCUGGGAACUGCAUCUUAUACUGCGUAGCUGGAGUGCAGAAGAGGAGAGUGGAAUUCCACGUGUAGCGGUGAAAUGCGUAGAGAUGUGGAGGAGCACCAGUGGCGAAGGCGACUCUCUGGUCUGUAACUGACGCUGAGGAGCGAAAGCGUGGGGAGCGAACAGGAUUAGAUACCCCCGUAGUCCCUGUCUCUUAUCA